Chelonoidis abingdonii (Abingdon island giant tortoise) is the source of this 111-nucleotide non-coding RNA. The record is from RefSeq and is a predicted model, not a curated record. Lineage: Eukaryota; Metazoa; Chordata; Testudines; Testudinidae.
UACAUAAAUAAUGAUGGGGUCUAAAUUAGCUGUACCACUCAAGAAAGAGAUCUUGGAGCCAUUGUGGAUGGUCUCGAAUCUAAACAUCCACUCAAUGUGCAGCAGCAGGCA